GAUGAACGCUAGCGGCAGGCUUAACACAUGCAAGUCGAGGGGUAUGCCGAUUUAUCGGCAGAGACCGGCGCACGGGUGCGUAACGCGUAUGCAAUCUACCUUUCACAGAGGGAUAGCCCAGAGAAAUUUGGAUUAAUACCUCAUAGUAUAGCAGUUUCGCAUGAAACCACUAUUAAAGUUCCAACGGUGAAAGAUGAGCAUGCGUCCCAUUAGCUAGAUGGUAAGGUAACGGCUUACCAUGGCUACGAUGGGUAGGGGUCCUGAGAGGGAGAUCUCCCACACUGGUACUGAGACACGGACCAGACUCCUACGGGAGGCAGCAGUGAGGAAUAUUGGUCAAUGGACGCAAGUCUGAACCAGCCAUGCCGCGUGCAGGAUGACGGUCCUAUGGAUUGUAAACUGCUUUUGUACGUAGAAGAACAACAUUACGUGUAAUGUACUUGACGGUAUCGUAAGAAUAAGGAAUCGGCUAACUACCGUG
Molecule: ribosomal RNA, 481 nt
Filed under: uncultured bacterium
Lineage: Bacteria
Description: bacterial SSU rRNA
Rfam family: Bacterial small subunit ribosomal RNA
Source: RNAcentral